GCCCACCACAGAGCCCAAGCUUGUGUCGCUCAUUGAAAAGCACGAUGGAUACUUUCUCAGUUGACUGACAAAGCAAAACAGGAGCAACACAUUCGGACCAGCGGAGAAGGCAAUGUGACAAUACUUGUUUAAGUUGUGAUUUAAGAGGCAUCAGAACUGAUUUGCCAUUUUCAACACUACUCAAGAACCAAAAGACAGAUGGAGAUGAGUGCAAUCCCUCCAAAUACCCCAAAACACAGUGCAGAAGAGGAAGAAGAUGCACUGGCACCUCAGGUACUGGAGAUUCUCAGUGGGAUCAGCAUUGAAGCCUUUAAGACCCUGAAGCAACCUGAAGAUAGAGAUGUGUGGUCCCUGGAAGAGGGAGAUGACUCGGUGUUUUACAGUGAUGAGGAGCAAGCUCAGCUGAACAUCGUUACUGCAUCUACUGCAUCAACCGGCAUCAAGUGCCGACAUCUUGCAAACACUGUGGCAGAUGAACCUAGCCCUCGGAGAGAGGUAAAGGCAGGGGAAGAACAUGAAGCCGAUAUUGCCAAAGAAAAUUUAGACAUGGGAAGGGAAAUGACCCAUCAGAUCACUUGGACUCAAGAACCCCAAAAGUUUCAUACGGCCAAAGCUAAACUGAUGUUUGCAUUAGACUCUGGGGAACAAGGUGCUGAUUCUGAACCGACUCCAGGAGAGUUUAUGAGAACUUGUAAGGAGUUUUUGCAGCCACACUGGACAACUGUAGAAAUGCAAGCACACCCUGAACAAAAUGCAUCAGCGGAAGAAGCAAAUCGGCAAAUCAAAGAGGAAGAAGUGGAACUAGAAACUCACACAUCAGCCCUCAGCUCCUUUGAUGUACCUAAUGAGGAGGGUUAUGCAAGGCUGAACAGGGAGGCAAACUACCCAGACCAGCUGUUUGGUGCUGAAGGCCAGAAAUCAGGUGCUGGUUGGCUUCAAGUGGAUCAGAAAGCUAAGCAGGAUCCGAACUUUAAUGUCCAUGCUGGUCUUCAUCAAAACCCCCACCCGGGUUACUCCAGCCUGCCUUUGGUAAAGAAAUCUGGCUGCAGUGAGAGCCACCAGGAUUCAUUUAACCAUCUCACAUCUACCAAGUACAGCACCGUGUCCUAUCGCAGGAUCCGCAGAGGCAACACCCGUCAGAAGAUAGAUGAGUUUGAGUACAUGAUAAUUAAUCACUAAGAAUCAGGUUUCAAUGUCCAUCUAAUGAAACUGUAACAAAAAAACCCCCCAAAACAAAACAAAACAAAUGCAACAUGUGUGCUUUACAGUUUACACAGAAAUAUCCAAUGUAACACCCCAUUAUGUGCAAACCUUACAUGCAUACAUAACAGUCACAGUUAAGGUACUUGGCUCGAUAUAGUGAAAACAUCUCAUAUUUGUAAAGUAAACAAUUGAUUUAUGUUGUUACUAUUGGCUAUUAAGAUUUUUGGCAUGAGAACUCUGGUGUUAAAAGUUUUAAAUUCCUCAGAAGUAACCUCAGUACAUAACUAUUAAAAAGAAAUUCAAAUGGCAGAUGGAGGGAAGUAACAAAAUAUAUACCGUUCUAGAUUCAUCAACUUGUUAUUAUUUUCACCUAUUUUCACCAAAAAUGCAUUUUCAUUCAUGUCUUUUUCUUGAAAUGUUUGUGAUCAUGUAAUAAACUCAUGAAAUCAGAGCACAGGUUUAUUGAGUGUUUUGAAGCAACACUUCCCUCUAGUGACAAAAACAAAAUCAACCAAAGUUUUCACAGCAAAACCUACACAUAAAAACCCCACAAAAGCAGCUUUUUUUCCCCAAAUGACCGCUCAAAGGACACAUUUCAUCACGAGAUAUUAAAAAAAAAAUUAUAUGUUUUAUACAAACAGCUUCAUGCAAUUUAACUCGUUAUUUAGUCCCAGGAAUGAUGAAUCUAUAAGGCACUGUUUAACUUUCGAUCUUUGUAAAUGUUUUACUAAAGAACUGAAGAGUUAAACCAAAGAUAUCCAUCUGAAUCUCACUUCUCACUUUUCCCCAGGUGCCAGUACAGAGGAUAUUACUUUUUAAAUUACUAAGUCCCAGUCCUUUGGCACAAAAUCCCACAUCAUUCACUUAAAAAAAAAAAAAAAAAAAAAAAAGAAAUCACACUCAUUAAUGCCCCCAAAACACUUCUUUUGUACCCUGGAAAGUCCUGAUUUGAGGCUGGACCACAGACCGUGCUGUAGCAUGAGGCCACUGAAGGUUUUUUGUAGUGCACUUUUAUCACAUAGAACUCAUUUCAGUCUCAUCCACUACACAAGGUAGUUCGUGAACUGCCACUUCUGGAACAUAUUGCUGGGUCCACAAGGACUGAGACGAAGAUCGUCACUCCCAGGUCCUGCUUCCAGGCACAUAUGGUUGGAAACAAACUCUGCUAUGAGGUGCUCCGCC
Long non-coding RNA from Oreochromis aureus, 2385 nucleotides. NCBI's taxonomy places the organism in Eukaryota, Metazoa, Chordata, Actinopteri, Cichliformes, Cichlidae. The record is from Ensembl.